RNAcentral lists this ribosomal RNA (253 nucleotides) under uncultured bacterium. RNAcentral describes it as "partial 16S ribosomal RNA". It matches the Rfam family "Bacterial small subunit ribosomal RNA", at positions 524 to 776 of the family's 1533-position model. The record is from RNAcentral.
UACAUGGGGUGCAAACGUUGCUCGGAAUUAUUGGGCGUAAAGGGUGCGUAGGCGGCGCGGUAAGUCGGGUGUGAAAUCUUGGAGCUUAACUCCGAAACUGCAUUCGAUACUGCCGUGCUUGAGGACUGGAGAGGAGACUGGAAUUUACGGUGUAGCGGUGAAAUGCGUAGAUAUCGUAAGGAAGACCAGUGGCGAAGGCGGGUCUCUGGACAGUUCCUGACGCUGAGGCACGAAGGCCAGGGGAGCAAACGGG